AUGGACAAAGAAGCUGCAUACAUGAAGAGGAAGAAUCUGGAAAUUCCCACUACCUUCAAAGGUAAAUCAUUUGCUGUCCUUGACCCUGAUGUUCUUGUCUCUAACACUAGUAAGGUUGAUUUAUGCAUUGGGAGUAGCAUUGAUGAUCAAGUAGUUAUUGUCAUGGAUAUGAUAGAUGAGGAGAAAAAUCGUUGCCUUAAGUUUGCGGAUGAUAACCCGGAGAUUGUUCUCCCUGAGAAUCUCGAUUUAGAAACAAGGGGGGAUGAGUUCGAAAUUAUUAACAGUGACCUUCACAUUAAUGGUUCGGAUGGCACUGCUGAACCACUAAUGGAAAGUCCUGUCUUGAACACAAAAAAGAAGCCUUGUGGGUUGUCGCACCCAUUUAAGGUUAAAUGA
Molecule: ribosomal RNA, 396 nt
Filed under: Triticum aestivum (bread wheat)
Lineage: Eukaryota; Viridiplantae; Streptophyta; Magnoliopsida; Poales; Poaceae
Description: partial small subunit ribosomal RNA
Source: RNAcentral